UUCAAAAGGUCUUCACCAUUCACUUUAAUGAAUCAAAUUGAUUUGUGGCCACCAUUUUUAAUUACAUCACCCAUAUUUUCCUACACACUCAAAAUAAAAUUAAAAACUUAGAAAGAAACAAAUAUAUAGUAUACACUAGUUAUAUCUUGCUAAGAACUAAUGAGAUUUUGUUUCACUACUAUAGCAUAACAAUAUCAAACACAAAAGGUGUUUUGUUUGUAUAAAUAUUAAAUAAUUAAAAAAAUUUAAGAUAUAAAAAUCUAACUAGCUAUUUCUGAUUUCUUCAACACAACAAAAGAAACUUCAGAACUAGUCAUAUUUUGAAAUUACCAAAAGACUGCACUUGUGCUUUAUAAUAGGAGUGUGUGGUCUAAUAGAACAUUAUUUAAAUAUACAGCUUCUAAUAACAUAGAUAUAGUGUCCAAAAGAACAUUAGAAUAUAUGCAUCUUCAACCACACCUCAAGCACAUUCAUAUUGAUCAUUUUCUAUGAGCAGCAACAGCUUAGUAGCUGGCUUUGCAUACUAAAAGCGCUAGCACAUGAAGAGGUUUUUGAGUAUCUUAAAAAUUACGCAGUAAAGACCAACUGAAACAAAUCAACUAAAAGAAAUUGAAAUUAAAAUCCAUCUUGGCGAAACCAAUACAAAUGUCACAACUCAUGAACGGUCCUGUAGAGUGCCUACAAAUCAUAAAACACUUUUCCUUGUUUUUCUCCAUCUAAUAAAACCAUAAGCAUGUGUCUUUCAAAAAUCGAACACUCCUAAGGUUAAGUAAUGAAAAACAUGCAGUAUAAUUUGUAAAAUGCAAGCUAAGUUAAUAAUCAAUACUUCGGAAGUUCUUGAAUGGAGAAUUUCCUCUCUUUUUUUCUCAUGUACAAUAUAAGAUGCAUAAUUAAAAAUAUCUGUUUAGCAUGUGCAACCCCACUUCCAAUCGAUAGAUUGUGAGUUCGAGUCUCUCCAAGAGCAAGGUAGGAAGUUCUUGGAGGAAAGAAUGCCGUGGGUCUAUUUGGAAACAGCCUCUCUACUCAAGGGUAGGGGUAAGGUCUACGUACUCACAACCCUCCUCAAACCCCACUAAGUGGAAUUAUACUGGAUUGUUGUUGUUUUUUAGCAUGUGCAAACAAUUCAUAAGUGGAGAUGUAUUCCUAAGCCAAGUCAAAUAGAUUAUUAAUUUUCAGAAUUUCGCAGAAGGCAUCAUAAUCAAGUCUGCUCUGUUCCUGGAUAUUAUGGGGAGGUAUAUGAAAGAAUAAGACCUAAAUAUAGAUCCUUAAGUUGCAAUACUAAAUCAUACUAAAAUAGUAAAACAAUCUUUGCAGAGUGGCAUGGUGCGGCAACUCUCACAUUAUUCAAGAAUACAAAUCGACAUAUAUUUCAAUUAUAUCUGUAUCAUAGUCUUCCAAGGGAGUCUUUCAUGUCAUUUAAGCCGACAGAAAUAGCUCUCUUUUGUAAUUUUUGCAUUCUAUUAUAACUGCUAUGAAUUUGUAUGCCUUCUACUGUCAGUAAAUUUGCAAAAAUAUAAACAGAUUGCAAUGGAAACUACACUAGAACAGGAAAAAGUGAAAUCUGAAAUAUCAAACGAUGAAAGGCCUUCCACAAGUACUUGGAGCAUAACUCUGUUUUUCGAUUCAGUACAUGUCAUGGUCGCUUUCCACAACUUACAAUGAAAAAUCUCUUGUAAAAGUUGUUCAUAAACCAUAACUCUAUCUUUCUAUCUAGGUAAACAAUUCGCAUAAUGUACUCUAAUAAAAUUCACAGUGCAAAAAUAGUUUAAAGGUUGAAAUUAUUAAUUAUAUGCCUAUACCUCUCAGUAGAUUUCUUCAACUGUAGUUGAGAACAACUUUCCUAUGAGAGCCCCAGUUAUUGUAGCAAUUGUUAACCCACAUCCAUUUGCAAGUUCAAUUUAGAACAGACAUCUAAAAUCAAAAGAUGUUUUAAACAGUGGAAGCGUCUAAGUAGGUGAAAUAUGCCGAGUAACUGAUGUUGUGUAUAGUUUGGAUUGUGUCAUGCAAUAUUUUUGUCAUGGAGCUUCUAAAAGUUGUCUGCAAUUGGAGCAUUAAAGCAUAUAAAACCACAUAUAGGUGAAAUUAACAAGUUUCAAUACAAAGCACUUAACAGCUUUGCAAAUUAUUUUUUGUUCAUCUAUGAUGUAAAAUGAACCUCCUCACUACUUAGAGAUAGGAAAAGAAGCAACAUGCACCAAGGAAGAGAAAUUAAAUAUCUCAAUUCGGACACAAGAUUGAAUUUUUUAUGUUUUAAGUAAACAAACAGACACAGAAGGGCAAAAGAGAAGCGAAUUUGGAUAGCAACCGGAAACUAUAUCAUAGAGGUAUUAGAAUAUAUUGUACAGUCCUAUUGUUGGUAAGAUUUGAUUUCCUUUAUUAUUGUACAGUCCUAUAAUUGGUAGGAUUUGGUUUAUUGUACAGUCCUAUAGUUGGUUAUUUCUGUCAUCGAGCUUGUAAAAGUUGUCUGCAAUUGGAGCAUUAAAGCAUAUAAAAUCACAUAUAGGUGAAAUUAACAAGUUUCAAUACAAAGCGCUUAACAGCUUUGCAAAUUAUUUUUUGUUCAUCUAUGAUGUAAAAAUGAACCUUCUCACUACUUAGAGAUAGGAAAAGAAGCAACAUGCACCAAGGAAGAGAAAUUAAAUAUCUCAAUCCCAACACAAGAUUGAAUUUUUUCAUAUGUAUGUUAAUCUUUUAAGUUUUAAGUAAACAAACACACAGAGAAGGGAAAAGAGAAGCGAAAUGGAUAGCAACCGGAAACUAUAUCAUAGAGGUACAUCUCUUAGAGGAAUUAAAUCAAACAACUGUGUGCCUACCCCAGAUUCCCACAUUUCAAAUACAACUUUUAUCAAAAUAUCCAAUAUGUGAGAAUUUAGUCUACCCAAUUCUAAUUUUUUUAAUAUACAUAUAUAGAGAGCUUUACCUCCUUUGAACAGCAAUAAAAAUUGAGAUUAACUUUAUUACAGAUUUGGUUUGGGGUAUUAGCUAAUCCCACGAUAACACACUAAAAAGAUGAGAUUAGUUAUCUUAUGUAGAAGGUGAGAUAACUAAUCACAUGGGAUAUUCCACCACCAUUGUUCCCAACUAUCCCUUAAGGAACUCUAUUCUUUUAGAUGUUGAGGAAAUUAAAACCCCAUGAUUAUCUGCAAAAGAAUAUUUCCCCUUUCAAGUUUCUUUAGUGCAUACAUCAAAUAAUCUCCCAGCUCAAGAGUUUCCUCUCCUUGUUUUCAAUGCUUUUAGUUCAACCCCGUUAAUUGGCAAGCAAAAGGGACCAAAAAAAUAAAGACAGAAAGAAAGCGCGCUAAAAAAAAUGCAACAAUCAACAUGCUCUGAAAUCUAGAGACAAGAAAACACUUGAUUCAGUAUUCACGCAUCAAUAAAAAUUCUAUCUUAAAGAACCCACAAACAACUAAUCACAAGAAAACCAAUAAAAUACACUUAUCCAAAAUCCAAAUUCUUCUAUUUAACAGAAGAAAAAAAACAUAACACAAAGUAAGCAGACAAAUAAAUUAUUAAACAGAAGCAAAAAAAACAAAACACAAAGUAAGCAGACAAAUAAAGUCCAAAACAGUACAUAUCAAUAAAUCUACAGUUACUCAGAUGUCAAAUUAGUGUGAACGAAAACCCCAAUUAAUGAAACAUACCCAAAAUUAAACAAAACAAAAUCACUUCUUUUUAGCCCAAGAAUCUGAAAUUAUAAAAAGUUUAAAAUUUUGAGUAUAAAACAAAGAUUGUACCGAGAUACCCAUAUAUUGUACACAAUAAAAGAUUAUUUUUUUCAUCUUCAUUAGUAAGAAACUAAAAAAGUUGAAUCUUAAAGUAUAAGAACAAAACUAAAAAUUAUAAAAAAAUAGAAAAGUUUUGAGCAAAGAAAUACUUACCAAUAGAGAAAGGGAUGGAGAUUUGCAAUAUAUGAGUGAAAGUAAUCUGAAGACACAUGCAGCACAGGAUUGAAAAGAAUGAAUUAGGUUACGGAGGGAAGUUCUUGGAGUAAAGCUCUGCCUAUUUAUUUGGAAACAGCCUGUCUAUCAAGGUAGGGUUAAGCUCUGCGUACACUAAUUUCCCCAGACCCCGCUAACUGAGAUUAUACUAGGUUAUUGUGAUUGUUGAAUUAGUUUACGGAGGCAAUUAAAG
This 4131-nucleotide long non-coding RNA is filed under the name Nicotiana benthamiana. RNAcentral describes it as "long non-coding RNA (NBEN_LNC025628)". Lineage: Eukaryota; Viridiplantae; Streptophyta; Magnoliopsida; Solanales; Solanaceae. The record is from RNAcentral.